RNAcentral lists this ribosomal RNA (469 nucleotides) under uncultured bacterium. RNAcentral's name for it is "bacterial SSU rRNA". It matches the Rfam family "Bacterial small subunit ribosomal RNA", at positions 32 to 524 of the family's 1533-position model. The record is from RNAcentral.
AAUCAACGCUGGCGGCGUGCCUAACACAUGCAAGUCGAGCGAGAAAGUGGAGCAAUCCAUGAGUAAAGCGGCGACCGGGUGAGUAACACGUGACUAACCUACCUUCGAGUGGGGAAUAACUCCGGGAAACCGGGGCUAAUACCGCAUAACAUCGAAAGAUCAAAGCAGCAAUGCGCUUGAAGAGGGGGUCGCGGCUGAUUAGCUAGUUGGCGGGGUAACGGCCCACCAAGGCGAAGAUCGGUAUCCGGCCUGAGAGGGCGCACGGACACACUGGAACUGAAACACGGUCCAGACUCCUACGGGAGGCAGCAGUGGGGAAUUUUGUCGCAAUGGGGGAAACCCGUAGACGCAGCAACGCCGCGUGGAGGACGAAGCCCCUUGGGCGUAAACUCCUUUCGACCAAGACGAUAAUGACGGUACUGGUGGAAGAAGCACCGGCUAACUCUGUGCCAGCAGCCGCCGCGGUAAC